Small nucleolar RNA from Octodon degus (degu), 132 nucleotides. The record is from Ensembl. NCBI's taxonomy places the organism in Eukaryota, Metazoa, Chordata, Mammalia, Rodentia, Octodontidae.
UGUCCCAUCCCUAGAGAUUCUGGCUGAAAAGAUAGGAAGCACUUAAAUGAGCAGGUACAGAAAAUAAAUCCUCUUUUGCAACCCAGAACUCAGUGUUAGGUAUGAGUUUUGAUACAUUAGAGAAGGAAUAUU